This 254-nucleotide ribosomal RNA is filed under the name uncultured Glomus. RNAcentral's name for it is "partial 18S ribosomal RNA". It matches the Rfam family "Eukaryotic small subunit ribosomal RNA", at positions 569 to 829 of the family's 1831-position model. The record is from RNAcentral. Lineage: Eukaryota; Fungi; Glomeromycota; Glomeromycetes; Glomerales; Glomeraceae.
AGCAGCCGCGGUAAUUCCAGCUCCAAUAGCGUAUAUUAAAGUUGUUGCAGUUAAAAAGCUCGUAGUUGAAUUUCGGGGUCAGUAGGUCGGUCGUGCCACUGGUAUGAACUGGUUUUACUGAUUCCUCCCUCUUGAAGAACUGUAAUGCCAUUAAUUUGGUGUUGCAGGGAAUCAGGACUGUUACUUUGAAAAAUUAGAGUGUUUAAAGCAGGCUUUAGCUUGAAUACAUUAGCAUGGAAUAAUGAAAUAGGACG